CGGUCCUAAGGUAGCGAAAUUCCUUGUCGGGUAAGUUCCGACCUGCACGAAUGGCGUAAUGAUGGCCAGGCUGUCUCCACCCGAGACUCAGUGAAAUUGAACUCGCUGUGAAGAUGCAGUGUACCCGCGGCAAGACGGAAAGACCCCGUGAACCUUUACUAUAGCUUGACACUGAACAUUGAGCCUUGAUGUGUAGGAUAGGUGGGAGGCUUUGAAGUGUGGACGCCAGUCUGCAUGGAGCCGACCUUGAAAUACCACCCUUUAAUGUUUGAUGUUCUAACGUUGGCCCCUAAUCGGGGUUGCGGACAGUGUCUGGUGGGUAGUUUGACUGGGGCGGUCUCCUCCUAAAGAGUAACGGAGGAGCACGAAGGUUGGCUAAUCCUGGUCGGACAUCAGGAGGUUAGUGCAAUGGCAUAAGCCAGCUUGACUGCGAGCGUGACGGCGCGAGCAGGUGCGAAAGCAGGUCAUAGUGAUCCGGUGGUUCUGAAUGGAAGGGCCAUCGCUCAACGGAUAAAAGGUACUCCGGGGAUAACAGGCUGAUACCGCCCAAGAGUUCAUAUCGACGGCGGUGUUUGGCACCUCGAUGUCGGCUCAUCACAUCCUGGGGCUGAAGUAGGUCCCAAGGGUAUGGCUGUUCGCCAUUUAAAGUGGUACGCGAGCUGGGUUUAGAACGUCGUGAGACAGUUCGGUCCCUAUCUGCCGUGGGCGCUGGAGAACUGAGGGGGGCUGCUCCUAGUACGAGAGGACCGGAGUGGACGCAUCACUGGUGUUCGGGUUGUCAUGCCAAUGGCACUGCCCGGUAGCUAAAUGCGGAAGAGAUAAGUGCUGAAAGCAUCUAAGCACGAAACUUGCCCCGAGAUGAGUUCUCCCUGACUCCCUGAGAGUCCUGAAGGA
This 894-nucleotide ribosomal RNA is filed under the name Escherichia coli 112469215-isolate1. RNAcentral's name for it is "bacterial LSU rRNA". It matches the Rfam family "Bacterial large subunit ribosomal RNA", at positions 1946 to 2835 of the family's 2925-position model. The record is from RNAcentral. Lineage: Bacteria; Pseudomonadati; Pseudomonadota; Gammaproteobacteria; Enterobacterales; Enterobacteriaceae.